Molecule: non-coding RNA, 3601 nt
Organism: Kogia breviceps (pygmy sperm whale)
Lineage: Eukaryota; Metazoa; Chordata; Mammalia; Artiodactyla; Physeteridae
Source: RefSeq, a predicted model, not a curated record
CUCCUCUUUAAUUUUUUGGAAGAGUUUCAGGAGGAUUGGUGUUAAUUCUUCUUUAAAUGUAUGGUAGAAUUCUCUAGCUAAAGCCAUCUGAUCCUUUGUUUUUCUUUGAGAUUUUCAAUUACUGAUUCAAUCUUCUUACUAGUUAUUGGUCUGUUCAAAUUUUCUAUUUCUUCAUGAUUCAGUCUUGGUAGGUUUUAUGUUUCUAGACAUUUAUCUGUUUCUUUAGGUUUUGCAACUUAUAGGUAUACAAUUGUUCAUAAUAGUCUCAUAAUCCUUUUUGUGUGUGUGUGUGCCAUCAGUUGUAAUAUCUUCUCUUUCAUUUCUGAUUUUGAGUCUUCUCUUUUUUUCUUAGUUAAUCUAGCUAAAGAUUUUUCAGUUUUGUUGAUCUUUUCAAAAAAUGAACUCUUACUUUCACUGAUUUUUUUUUUCUAUUCUCUAUUUCACUUAAUCCCUGCUCUAAUUUUCAUUAUUUCCUCCCUUCUGCUAGCUUUAGGUUUAGUUUUUUUCUUUGAUUUCUUGAGGAAUUGUGUCACUUUACAGUUCUUUUGUUUGAAUCAGGAUCUAAAAACAAGGUCCAUAUAUUGUAUGUGAUAUAUUUCUUAAGUCUCUCUAAGUCUAUAAGAUACCCUCUCUUCUUAUUUUGUGCCAUUUAUUUGUUAAAGUUAUCUGGAUAUUAUAUCUUGGUAUUUCCUACAUUUUGGAUUUGUGGUGGUGUUUGACAUGUACUAUCCUUCAUAUUUUCUGUAAACUGGUAGAGGUGGACAUCUAUUAAAGUUAGAGCUAGAAGCUAGACAGAUUCAUGUUCAACUUUUCUCCUUUUUUAGUAGGAAGACUUCAUUGCUUUCAGUGAUGCUGAGAUUGACCAGGUGUUGUCAGCUUGGCUCCUCCACUAGAAAGUUCCACAUCAUCUUUCCAUUUAAUGUUUCAGCAGUCGUUGAUGAUUGUUGCCUAAAGUCUUUAGUCUGGUAGGGAUUGUAAAAUGGUGAUUUUUUUUUUAAGUUUGAUACAUUUAAUACAGAAUUUAGUAGGCCAGAGUACUAAAUAGACUUUCUGGGAGUAUUUCGUUGGCUUUUAUCUAUUCAAGAGACAAUGGAAACUUCUUUUACCUCAGUUCUGAAUUUUGAAGGAGUUUUUGUGGCUCUUAGAAGUAUAAUCCUGGGAAUUCACUGGUGGUCCAGUGGUUACGACUCUGCACUCUUGCUGCCGAGGGCCUGGUUUCAAUCCCUGGUCGGAGAGCUUAGAUUCCACAAGCCACACGGUACGGCCAAAAAAAAAAAAAUGAAAAAGAAGUGUAAUUCUGCCUUCAGCCCCCAAAAUGUUGAUUUUUAAUCGCAUUUCUUCUGCAUUUACUAGCUGUGGUUCUUCUACAAAGAAUUCUCUUCAUCAAUUGUUUGGUUAUUCUGAAAAAGUCUGUAGCAAAGGCAAGACAGAUGCUGGAUUCUUCCUCUUUAUUCAUCAGUUUUCAGAAUAAUGAGUUGAUACCCCAGCAGACUUCAGGGAUGACCAAUAAGCUUUUCUUUUAGGUGGGAGGGAGUAUUAUGAAUUUGGCUGUUUUUGCAUAUCUGACGUUUGGAGCUCCUUCAAACUGGCUUCCAUGUCAUUUUGUGUGGCCCUAAUAGUUGUUGAUUGUUUUAGGCUUAUUUUGUAUAUAUUCUGCCCCAGACUUGGAUUAAGUAAGUUCUUAAGGAGCCCUGGUUCCUUUUUGUGGGAAAUAUUUAGAGACCAUAAUUUAAGUGCUAGAGGAGCUACGUGCUACUGGCUAGUGUCAUUUCUUAGCUGUUUCUGUGGCUAUUGCUGGGAAAUAAAUAUUUUUUUAGAAAGAGAAAAAAUUUUAAGUUACAUUAUUUUUUAGAGCAGUUUUAGGUUCAUAGCAAAAUUGAGUGGACGGUACAGAGAUUUCCUGAUUACAGGGCUUUUAGUUAACUUUCUUUGAUUUUAUGUUUGUUUCUAUUUUAUACUGAAAUGUUUGGUUCCUAACAACCCCAUGUAAUUACUUAUUUAUCCUAUUAUGUAUUUUAUAGAUUCAGAAUAGUAAUGAAAUAUUAUUAAUAGGAUGAAAUCUACCGGAUGCAGGUUUAUUUGUUUUAAUGCAGUUCAAGAUGUAUUUUUAUCCUUAGUCUAAAUAUAGUCAAAGUACUAUUUCAAAUUCACUUGAAAUGAUUCCUUCCUUUGUGGACAGUUAGGUCUGUUUUUCACUUUUAAGAAUUAUUUUAUAUUUUUUAAUUUAUUUUUUUAAAACUGUGUACUUACCCUUUCUCUGAGAUGAGGGAGCAGAAUUAAAUCUGUAAAUGUCUGUGAGUCCUGGAGGAUAGGGAACUGAUCCUCAACUUGUUCAUUUCUCCUCCAUUCUGCCACUUCCCCCUCUACUUCCAUUGAAAUUUGCACUCUUUAUCCACAGUCUUUUGGAAUGCUGAACAAAAAUCUUCUUGGAACAAGACAGGCAUAAGUAAAUAAAAUUAAUAAAUCUAUAAGCCACAGCAGAUCAUUCACAAAUUCCUCCAGAUCCAUAUCGCUUAUCACCAUUCAUUCCGUGUGGUGGUUUUUCUUCUACAGCCUGUCUGAUGUAAUGGUGCUUCCAUGACAUUUGAUGUUUGAAAGGCUCUAGCUCUGGCAUUAUCAAUGUGUGUUUUAUAGUCGUCUGCAAUAUUCCUUCUCUUUCUCCUUGUUCUGUGAACUGAGGGAUCUGGGAAGUGUAAACACCCCUCCACCCCUGUCUUCUCCCCUUCUCUUAAUCCCUUUUCCCUCAACCCUAGGGUGCUAGCAGCCUGGGAUGGUUGGGUCUUUGUCACCCUGGAGCUGAGCAGCUCAUGUCAGAAAUUCUCCAGGCUCUUGGGCCUCUGGGGUGAGUUGAGAAGGUAUGUAGGGUGCUGGGGAUGGAGAUCCAUGGAAUAGGUGCUUACCUGAGUUACUAUGAGAGACUUGAAGACGUUAGCAUCUUCACGUAAUCGGCAUGACACAUAACCUGUGAUAGCACUGAGCUUUUAUGUCUUUAUUCAGGUUGAGGAAUGUGCACAAAUAAUGCAAAUAUAAUUAUUUUUAGUCCUGAGGAUUAGGCAACUUGAGGCAUGUUCACAUUACCUGGUGAUGUAAAUACCAAUGUUACGUUGAAUUUUUUUUAAAGAAAGGCCUAUUCACCACUGAAAUAAUCUCAACAGUAUCAUUAACUUUAAAAAUGUUGUAUUGGACAGUAUUAGUUACCCGAUAUGUAUUUGAUCUGGGGUUAUUUGAUUUGUACUGUGGUCUUUUUUCUCCAGUGUUAUAUGCAUUAUGUAUAAUACAUUGGUUGAGGGUGGGGUCACGGCUUGGAAAGGUGUGGGCUUUGACUUGCUUGGAAUUGCUUUUUAUUCUGUAAGUUCUGUGACCUCAUGCACUGUAAAUAUUGAUGCUACCACACCCGAGCACAUGUGAAAUAAAACUGGCUCUUCGGUAUUUGGUUCCAAUGCGAAUUAAUUAAAAAGGGGUUGGGGAAGUAGGUGUCCAGUAAUUAAGAAUCCACCUGCCAAUGCAGAGGACAUGGGUUCCAUCCCUGGUUGGGGAAGAUCCCACAUGCCACGGAGCAACUAAGCCUGUGCGCCACAACUACUGAGACCGUGCUCUAGAG